UGUGAGCUCGAUGAGUAGGGCGGGACACGUGGUAUCCUGUCUGAAUAUGGGGGGACCAUCCUCCAAGGCUAAAUACUCCUGACUGACCGAUAGUGAACCAGUACCGUGAGGGAAAGGCGAAAAGAACCCCGGCGAGGGGAGUGAAAAAGAACCUGAAACCGUGUACGUACAAGCAGUGGGAGCCCCACCACUAAGCCAGUGGUGAACUCCACAUACGCAUCCUUUGCUGAGGAUACGGUUAACGGAGCGAAAGCGACGUUCAACCGCAAAAGAAGCAGAGGGGGCUUAGUGGUGGGGUGACUGCGUACCUUUUGUAUAAUGGGUCAGCGACUUAUAUUCUGUAGCAAGGUUAACCGUAUAGGGGAGCCGGAGGGAAACCGAGUCUUAAUUGGGCGUUAAGUUGCAGGGUAUAGACCCGAAACCCGGUGAUCUAGCCAUGGGCAGGUUGAAGGUUGGGUAACACUAACUGGAGGACCGAACCGACUAAUGUUGAAAAAUUAGCGGAUGACCUGUGGCUGGGGGUGAAAGGCCAAUCAAACCGGGAG
RNAcentral lists this ribosomal RNA (545 nucleotides) under Salmonella enterica subsp. enterica serovar Oranienburg. RNAcentral's name for it is "bacterial LSU rRNA". It matches the Rfam family "Bacterial large subunit ribosomal RNA", at positions 398 to 844 of the family's 2925-position model. Lineage: Bacteria; Pseudomonadati; Pseudomonadota; Gammaproteobacteria; Enterobacterales; Enterobacteriaceae. The record is from RNAcentral.